AUUAGUAUUUUGAGUCUAGAAAAAAAUUUGUAUUCUCCCUCAAUAUAGUUGGUGUCAAAAAUAUAUUAAGAUUUCAAACUCUUCUGUCUCCUUUUCUCUGUCAUUCGUGUCAAAAGGUAAUGAGGGCAACAAACCUCAAAUCCUUGAGCUGUCAAGUUUUCAAUGCUUAAUCUAAUGCUUAAGGUUUUAUAACUAGCAAAUCAAUCUCAAAUUCUUCUUAUUCAACACUAGAAAAUCAAAGAAACCCCGGUUUCUCAGUUUCAUUCUUGCAUCAUCUCUCUCACUCAAAUUGUUGGUGCCGCUAAGCGUUCGGCGCUGCUAUUGGGUCUCAGCGGAAGUCUGUCGUUGUUGUCGUCGGCUCGGCUGUUGCCCUUAUUUCUUUCCCAUCUGUGCUAUCGGUGCUGUCCCAGGUCAUUCCACCAGUUGCAGCAUUUUCUCUCUCCUCUACUUCGGGAUUCUAGUAUUGUGUUGCGGUUUUUUCUAUCUCUUCUGUUUCGUUUUUUUCUGGUGUUGCACUGUUGUCGCCUGUUUGGGGGUGCUGUUGUGCCGGUGUUGGUACUAUAUUGGUGUGCUGCUUCUUGCUACUAUUGCUUCAUGUUGUACUCGUGUUCUUUCAAAUCUCAACUCUUAUUAAAAGAGAUUACCAAAAUCAAGGUGAUUUGUGAAGGUAUAUUCUGAACUAUUUCUUCCUUCUUCAUCUCUAUAAUUCCAAGGCCCAAAAAAUUCAUAAUUUAUGUAGAGGUUGUUAAGAAUGAUUUCUAUAAUCCAAGAAUAGUUGUGAGUAUAAGUUUUUUUUAUGAGUUUUUGAAUUAAGCUCUACUGAGUAUUAUUUCAAAGUUGAUAAAAUAGAUUGUGAAUUGUAAUUAUGGAGAUUAGUUGGGUUUUGGCUUCUAAGUAUAAAAAGCAAAGCUGGGUUGUUAUUGUUUUGAACCUUUAUUUGUCUAAUUUAUGAAAAAGAGACUUUGUUUGGAAAUGAUUUAGUCCACGGCUAAUGGGGGACCUUGAUUAGUUAAGAUAAGUAAUUCAGGUUGAAAAGAUUUGGUAUGAGGAGUUUAUAUGUUUGAAAAUUAUUAAGAUGAGUAUUAUUUAUUGAUAUUGUUUGGAGGUGAUAUAUUGUUGAAGAAUGGUAUGGAGAUAAUUUCUGGAGAUCGAGCUAUAGUUGGUGAUCCAUAAUGUCGAAUUAUUGGGAAUCGUUUCAAGGUAGCAAGAACUAUUUUGGUUGAUGAUAAUGAUGAUGAGAUGAUUCGGUGAAGCUUGUGCAAAAGUUUUCAUAAACCUUCUGAGAACCAUUACAUAAUUCCAUUAUUGUAUUUGUUUAAAGUUUGUACUACUUUCUUAGUUAUAUCACUAUAUGGUGCAGCACAAAAACAAUAGCCUUUGUGCUACUUGAUAGGAAUGUUUUUUCUAGGUUUUUGAUUCAUGAAUGUUCUUAUGAUUUGACAAAUUUUUGGCA
Molecule: long non-coding RNA, 1453 nt
Organism: Beta vulgaris subsp. vulgaris (sugar beet)
Lineage: Eukaryota; Viridiplantae; Streptophyta; Magnoliopsida; Caryophyllales; Amaranthaceae
Exons: 2
Source: RefSeq, a predicted model, not a curated record